This 354-nucleotide small RNA is filed under the name Arabidopsis thaliana (thale cress). RNAcentral's name for it is "ATSL254490". Lineage: Eukaryota; Viridiplantae; Streptophyta; Magnoliopsida; Brassicales; Brassicaceae. The record is from RNAcentral.
AAAUUCACAAGGAUAAGAAGUUAGCCACACGCCGCCAUAAAGACGAAAACGGUGCCAAAUAGAAAGCCGAACAAAUCUACAACUGAAAGCAGACGAUUUCGGACGGUUAGCCAGCCAAAAAGACGCUAAUUUGAAAUCGUUGUUGCCGGAAAGUUUUGCUCACCGCUUUUUCUCUCUAAAAACCUAAAAAGUGAAGAGAGAGAAAAUGUCAAAAGAAGUAUGAAUGUGUAUGAAGAAUUUAAACUAAAAAACUCUUUUACUCGAAUAUAAUUAUGAAAAAAAUUGUAUACCUCCUUCCCUUAGAUCAUGACAAAAAAAACCUAAAAAUCCUUUGGCAUAUUGUUAGUUUUCUAU